Molecule: long non-coding RNA, 581 nt
Filed under: Gallus gallus (chicken)
Lineage: Eukaryota; Metazoa; Chordata; Aves; Galliformes; Phasianidae
Source: RNAcentral
UUCAUUCAUGUUGCUCUUCAGCUGUCCUCCAUGGCUGGUCAAGUAAAACUGCACAGGAUGGAAUGCUUUGCGAUUUUCUGCGUAACAUCUCUGAAUUUGCUUGUGAAGCUUCUUAACAUCCUUUAGCACCAUCAAGUCAUCAAAGCUGCAGUCCACAAUGAGGCGAAGCGUGCUGGGAACGACGUCCCUUCGCAUACGCUUUCUGUCAUUCCCUUCAUUACUGGGGUCUGACUUUGACUGACGUUCUAAUUUUCUCUUCUGGCGUUUUUCUUUGCGUUUCUGCCUACGGAGAUCCUUCUGUUCUUCCCACUGCUUCUGCUUCAGUAGUUUCUUCCUCUGCCUCUUGGACAUGGGCUCGAGGCAUUCUGCCUUGUCUGUGCCUUCCUCCUGUCUUUCUACUUGCCUGUCACACGACUUCACCUUUCCUUCCACCUCAGGUGCAUCAGGGGGCAUGGUGUUUUCUGUUGCUGUUCCCGAUGACAUUAGCUUCUGGCUGGCUCACUGACUUGUAUCUCACACGCGUGAUAAAUAUGUCAUGAAAAACAAUUUUUCAUCUCACCAGUUCAGGCUCCUUCACCCCC